RNAcentral lists this ribosomal RNA (568 nucleotides) under uncultured bacterium. RNAcentral describes it as "partial 16S ribosomal RNA". It matches the Rfam family "Bacterial small subunit ribosomal RNA", at positions 355 to 914 of the family's 1533-position model. The record is from RNAcentral.
UGGGGAAUAUUGGACAAUGGGCGCAAGCCCGAUCCAGCAAUGCCGCGUGUGUGAAGAAGGCCUUCGGGUUGUAAAGCACUUUUAUCAGGAGCGAAACGCUGUCGGCUAAUACCCGGCGGAACUGACGGUACCUGAGGAAUAAGCACCGGCUAACUUCGUGCCAGCAGCCGCGGUAAUACGAAGGGUGCAAGCGUUAAUCGGAAUUACUGGGCGUAAAGCGUGCGUAGGCGGUUUCUUAAGUCUGCUGUGAAAUCCCCGGGCUCAACCUGGGAAUGGCAGUGGAUACUGGGAGGCUAGAGUGUGUCAGAGGGUGGUGGAAUUCCCGGUGUAGCGGUGAAAUGCGUAGAGAUCGGGAGGAACAUCAGUGGCGAAGGCGGCCACCUGGGACAACACUGACGCUGAGGCACGAAAGCGUGGGGAGCAAACAGGAUUAGAUACCCUGGUAGUCCACGCCCUAAACGAUGCGAACUGGAUGUUGGUCUCAACUCGGAGAUCAGUGUCGAAGCUAACGCGUUAAGUUCGCCGCCUGGGGAGUACGGUCGCAAGACUGAAACUCAAAUGAAUUGAC